This 30-nucleotide non-coding RNA is filed under the name Rattus norvegicus (Norway rat). The record is from RNAcentral. Lineage: Eukaryota; Metazoa; Chordata; Mammalia; Rodentia; Muridae.
UGCAGAACCUACAGUGUUGGAACAACUGCA